UUCCUGGAGGACUAGUGAUUAGGCCACUGUGUUCUCACCGCUGCGGCCCGGGUUCGAUUCCCGGCCUGGGAA
Non-coding RNA from Pangasius djambal, 72 nucleotides. NCBI's taxonomy places the organism in Eukaryota, Metazoa, Chordata, Actinopteri, Siluriformes, Pangasiidae. The record is from the annotation of a GenBank genome assembly.